Molecule: ribosomal RNA, 578 nt
Filed under: uncultured bacterium
Lineage: Bacteria
Description: bacterial SSU rRNA
Rfam family: Bacterial small subunit ribosomal RNA
Source: RNAcentral
CCUACGGGAGGCAGCAGUGAGGAAUAUUGGUCAAUGGACGAGAGUCUGAACCAGCCAAGUCGCGUGAAGGAAGACGGUUCUAUGAAUUGUAAACUUCUUUUGUGCAGGAAUAAAGUGGGUUACGUGUAACCUUUUGUAUGUACUGUACGAAUAAGGAUCGGCUAACUCCGUGCCAGCAGCCGCGGUAAUACGGAGGAUCCGAGCGUUAUCCGGAUUUAUUGGGUUUAAAGGGUGCGUAGGUGGAUUGAUAAGUCAGCGGUGAAAGUUUGCAGCUUAACUGUAAAAUUGCCGUUGAAACUGUCGGUCUUGAGUGCAAAUGAGGUAGGCGGAAUGUGUUGUGUAGCGGUGAAAUGCUUAGAUAUAACACAGAACUCCGAUUGCGAAGGCAGCUUACUGGGAUGCAACUGACACUGAUGCACGAAAGCGUGGGUAUCAAACAGGAUUAGAUACCCUGGUAGUCCACGCAGUAAACGAUGAAUACUAGCUGUAUGCGAUAUACCGUAUGUGGCACAGCGAAAGCGUUAAGUAUUCCACCUGGGGAGUACGUUCGCAAGAAUGAAACUCAAAUGAAUUGACGG